This 519-nucleotide ribosomal RNA is filed under the name uncultured Pseudomonadaceae bacterium. Its description in RNAcentral is "bacterial SSU rRNA". It matches the Rfam family "Bacterial small subunit ribosomal RNA", at positions 43 to 543 of the family's 1533-position model. The record is from RNAcentral. Lineage: Bacteria; Pseudomonadati; Pseudomonadota; Gammaproteobacteria; Pseudomonadales; Pseudomonadaceae.
CGGCCGCGUCGACGCAAGUCGAGCGCAAAGAUCAGGAGCUUGCUCCUGUGAUUUGAGCGGCGGACGGGUGAGUAACACGUAGGCAGCCUACCCUUGAGAUUGGGAUAACUACCGGAAACGGUAGCUAAUACCGGAUACGACCUUUCCACAUAAGUGGAAUUGUUAAAAGGCGGAUUUAUCUGCCGCUCAUGGAUGGGCCUGCGGUGCAUUAGCUAGUUGGUGAGGUAAAGGCUCACCAAGGCGACGAUCCGUAACUGGUCUGAGAGGAUGAUCAGUCACACUGGAACUGAGACACGGUCCAGACUCCUACGGGAGGCAGCAGUGGGGAAUAUUGGACAAUGGGCGAAAGCCUGAUCCAGCCAUGCCGCGUGUGUGAAGAAGGUCUUCGGAUUGUAAAGCACUUUAAGUUGGGAGGAAGGGCAGUAAGUUAAUACCUUGCUGUUUUGACGUUACCAACAGAAUAAGCACCGGCUAACUUCGUGCCAGCAGCCGCGGUAAUACGAAGGGUGCAAGCGUUAA